GGAGAUAUAGCUCAGUAGGUUAGAGCGGUGGCCUUAUAAGUCAUGUGUCACUGGUUCGAGUCCAGUUAUCUCUA
Molecule: transfer RNA, 74 nt
Filed under: Caudoviricetes sp.
Lineage: Duplodnaviria; Heunggongvirae; Uroviricota; Caudoviricetes
Description: tRNA-Ile
Rfam family: tRNA
About the family: Transfer RNA (tRNA) molecules are approximately 80 nucleotides in length.
Source: RNAcentral